This 431-nucleotide ribosomal RNA is filed under the name uncultured bacterium. RNAcentral describes it as "partial 16S ribosomal RNA". It matches the Rfam family "Bacterial small subunit ribosomal RNA", at positions 29 to 507 of the family's 1533-position model. The record is from RNAcentral.
AACGAACGCUGGCGGCAGGCCUAACACAUGCAAGUCGAGCGCCCUUUCGGGGGAGCGGCGGACGGGUGAGUAACGCGUGGGAAUAUGCCCUUCUCUACGGAAUAGCCUCGGGAAACUGAGAGUAAUACCGUAUACGCCCUGUGGGGGAAAGAUUUAUCGGGGAAGGAUUAGCGCGCGUUGGAUUAGGUAGUUGGUGGGGUAAUGGCCUACCAAGCCGACGAUCCAUAGCUGGUUUGAGAGGAUGAUCAGCCACACUGGGACUGAGACACGGCCCAGACUCCUACGGGAGGCAGCAGUGGGGAAUCUUAGACAAUGGGGGCAACCCUGAUCUAGCCAUGCCGCGUGAAUGAUGAAGGCCUUAGGGUUGUAAAGCUCUUUCAGCUGGGAAGAUAAUGACGGUACCAGCAGAAGAAGCCCCGGCUAACUCCGUG